UUUUGUAGCAGUUUAUAAAAUGUAUAUUCUGUAAUUGCAAACUAAUUUCUCAAAAAUAAAAUGUAAGUAGCACACAGUAUAUUGUAUGUUUCUCUCUUUCAGCUGCAGAAAGUAUUACAUAUAGGACACCUUCAGGCAUGUGGGUCUAUACAGCAAGCAGCAGUCUUAUUUAAUGAAUAUCUAGAUCUGAAUUGGGAUGGCAAAAAAGUUGAACAGAAUCUGACUUACGAGAGAAACCGACCAUCUUAUCCUGAUAAAAUUCAGCUAGAGGCCACUUUGGAAAACAUUUUACUGACUUCAUGCACCAAGCAACAUAUUCUAGGUAAAAUGGAAACAAACUAUUCAACAUGGCUGGAUUAUUACAUAAGCCUUGGACUCUGUGAUCUUCCGAAUGUAAUUGUCUUCUCUGGAAAACAUCAGCUUAAUAAAGGAGAUGUAAUUCUGCAAUCAGAAGGCCGGUUCCAUCUUGCUAGUGAUAGAAAAGAUGAUGGAUUGAUCACAGUAGUCUUAAAGAACAAUAGUGCAGAUGACCUCAAGAAAUAUUCUGUGGAAUUUGAACUAAAAGCAUUUGAGGAUAUUUGGCUAGGCCUGACAGGAACUGCUACUUCCUCAGCUCUUCAAAGCCAAAUCCUGGUGGAGGGAAAUAUUGAUCAUAAAGAGAAAGUAAAAGUAGCUGCCUCUAAAGAGAAGCAAUGUCUUCAGUAUUACAUGGGGUACUUAAAGGGUAAGUACA
RNAcentral lists this long non-coding RNA (733 nucleotides) under Crocodylus porosus (Australian saltwater crocodile). RNAcentral describes it as "lncRNA (ENSCPRG00005003745.1)". Lineage: Eukaryota; Metazoa; Chordata; Crocodylia; Crocodylidae. The record is from RNAcentral.